GACAGAGGGUGCAAACGUUGUUCGGAAUUACUGGGCGUAAAGAGUGUGUAGGCGGUGCUCUAAGUUUGUCGUGAAAUCUCCCGGCUUAACUGGGAGGGUGCGGCGAAAACUGGAGUGCUAGAGGGUGGGAGGGGAAAGCGGAAUUCCUGGUGUAGCGGUGAAAUGCGUAGAUAUCAGGAGGAACACCUGCGGUGUAGACAGCUUUCUGGACCACUUCUGACGCUGAGACACGAAAGCGUGGGUAGCAAACAGG
RNAcentral lists this ribosomal RNA (253 nucleotides) under uncultured bacterium. RNAcentral's name for it is "partial 16S ribosomal RNA". It matches the Rfam family "Bacterial small subunit ribosomal RNA", at positions 524 to 776 of the family's 1533-position model. The record is from RNAcentral.